This is an RNA transcript of Nomascus leucogenys (northern white-cheeked gibbon), 1615 nucleotides long. It is a transcript of the gene named nuclear receptor-binding factor 2 pseudogene, with no coding region annotated. The transcript has a single exon. The record is from RefSeq and is a predicted model, not a curated record. NCBI's taxonomy places the organism in Eukaryota, Metazoa, Chordata, Mammalia, Primates, Hylobatidae.
AUGGAAGUAACUGAAUCCCCCUCAACCUGGCUCAUCAUCAGAGCAGACUGUUGAUUAGCUGCAGGCAAAUAUGAAGAGGCUAUUUCCUGUCACAAAAAGGCCGUGGUGUAUCUUUCUGAAGCUACGGAGCUGACGCGGGCUAAGCAGGCUCACCUUUCACUGGAAUUGCAAAGGCAUAGCCACAUGAAACCGCGCCUCCUCAUCCAGGAGACACGGAAAAGGGCCCAGUAGAACACAGACAAGGAUGGGGCUGCCCAUAUUCAGGCCUCUCACAGCCCCUCUGCUGAAGAUGCAUAAGCACAACCCUCCAAAGAGGAACGCCUGCCCAAGACUCGGGGCGUCUGUGACAGGGAUCCAGACACACGACUGUUUUUCCUUCGGCAACAGAGCCGUGUAUUGGAAGCAAAGCCCCAAAACACGAUGAACAAUAGUAGAGGAGCAGGCAACCCAGUUGCAGAUUUGAAGAGGCGUGUGAAAUUCCUUGUGGCGGAGAAGGAAAGAUUAAGGAAAGAAAGUAAACAGGUAAAGGCUGAAAAGGCCAGACUUCUAAAAGGUCCAGUAGAAAAGGGGCUGGAUGUGGGUGCUGAUUUUGUAGAAAAGUCAGAGUUACGGAGCUUACCUGUGCAUUCAGAAGCUGCUACACCCUCUUCAGCCUUGCGGAGGUUUGCAGCCGAUGCCAGGAAAGCCAAGGACAUUCCAGUACCCGAUCUUCUCCCUCGGAUUUUCCAUCUCCAGAGCUUCCCCUUAUGGAGCUCUCUGAGGAUAUUCCGAAAGGAUUUAUGAGUAAUUAAAAUGGAAGUCCAUAGAAGAAGAGAGAAGAGGAAAUAAUACUAAGUAAUACAAUUAAUCCAGCAACAAAAAACGAAAAGGGAAGGCCACAGGCAAGGGUUAUCCUGGAAAUGCCUCGUCAUCUGGCAUACGGUGGGAGAAGAGGCAUUGCCAGGACGUGGGAAACAGUCACUGAGAAGCGUGUCGCAUAUCUGAUUCACUGGCUUGAGCUAAUGAUGCCGACCUGGCAGACACUAAACUCAUGGAGGGUCAGUUUCUCCUGAUACCAACUAAAUGGCUGCCUGGAAGAAUUUUUUCAAGCAACAAUUAUUUUUCUUAUCUUCAGGGUUAAAAUGUAUAAAAGUAUGUCAUGUGUAAUUAAUCUAUAAUGCCAUAAAUGAUCAUGCAAAACCUAAAUAUUAUGGCAGCCUGAGGGGCUGCUUCAUAUUUGAAACAUGCUUUGUCUCAGGCAUGGAUGUGUGCAUUUUGUUAAUGAUGUUAUGUUUAAGGUGUGUAAGACACACCUUUCUGGAUGAAACCGUAUGUGCCACACUGUGCACUACUCAUAACGAUGAUAACCUCAAGACUAUCAGGGGAAAUACUUAAAUUUCCGUGUUAUGAAGAAAGAAACCAAAUUAUUAGUUAUGCUUUUUAACACAAAUUACCAGUUUACAUAAUUAAUGAGGGUGCAUUUUAAGUUCUAACUUUGUUUAUUGUAUAAUGCAUCAUUUGAAAAUACCAAGGAAGUCUCCUUUGUUUUUAAUGAUCCAUUGAUUGGAAGGAAUGCUAGUCGGCAGUAUUUGAUUGUAAGAAAUCAAUAAAGUAAUUGUGUUUAAAAAAAAAAAAA